This 497-nucleotide ribosomal RNA is filed under the name uncultured bacterium. RNAcentral describes it as "partial 16S ribosomal RNA". It matches the Rfam family "Bacterial small subunit ribosomal RNA", at positions 28 to 507 of the family's 1533-position model. The record is from RNAcentral.
GACGAACGCUGGCGGCGUGCCUAAUACAUGCAAGUAGAACGCUGAAGAGAGGAGCUUGCUCUUCUUGGAUGAGUUGCGAACGGGUGAGUAACGCGUAGGUAACCUGCCUUGUAGCGGGGGAUAACUAUUGGAAACGAUAGCUAAUACCGCAUAACAAUGGAUGACACAUGUCAUUUAUUUGAAAGGGGCAAUUGCUCCACUACAAGAUGGACCUGCGUUGUAUUAGCUAGUAGGUGAGGUAAUGGCUCACCUAGGCGACGAUACAUAGCCGACCUGAGAGGGUGAUCGGCCACACUGGGACUGAGACACGGCCCAGACUCCUACGGGAGGCAGCAGUAGGGAAUCUUCGGCAAUGGGGGCAACCCUGACCGAGCAACGCCGCGUGAGUGAAGAAGGUUUUCGGAUCGUAAAGCACUGUUGUAAGUCAAGAACGGGUGUGAGAGUGGAAAGUUCACACUGUGACGGUAGCUUACCAGAAAGGGACGGCUAACUACGUG